Long non-coding RNA from Mustela erminea (ermine), 1884 nucleotides. RefSeq lists it as uncharacterized. NCBI's taxonomy places the organism in Eukaryota, Metazoa, Chordata, Mammalia, Carnivora, Mustelidae. The record is from RefSeq and is a predicted model, not a curated record. The transcript has 3 exons.
CGGCCACGCCCCCUCCGUCCUCCGGUUGGAAGCGAGGGCGGGACGCUGGUUCAGGUACCCGAGCCGCGGAGAAUGGAGUUUCAGGUUUUGUUUUUGUUUGCUUUUCAGCUGCCACUACGGGUGUAGUUGAGUCUUGCACGAAGCAGACUGACUGUGUUUAUGCAGACAUUCCUAAAACCGAUGCCCUACCUGGAGGGGAAAUAGGUGUUUUCCUUUGAGUUGAAUGACGGAAGCAUUUCCCCGCUUACCUUGAGGGAAGUUCAGUACCUGUGAGACAAGGACGAGUAUUUCCCAGUCGGAGUGUGUGGUUUGGUUUGGUUUGGUUUUGUGGUGGUUUGCGGUGGUCACGCCUGUAAGUCGAAUUUCUGGGAGCCUCCGUGUGGGGCUUCUCAGGGGCCAGCCGGCCGUGCUGGCAUCCUCGGGGACGUGCUUGGAAAGACGGGUUCUCGGGAGUCGCUCCGGCCUUCUGGAUCAGAACGUGCCGGAGGGUCCCAGAAAUCCGUAUCUUCACAAACCCCAAGUGAGCCUGAGGUUUGCGCCAGUUAGAAAACCGCAGCUCUAAUGAAUUAGAUCAGUCGGGAGAAAAUGUUGUCCUCCCUCGUGAGUGAUCAGUAGAAGAAAAUGCUGAAAAGUGAUAAUGCUGAUAACUAAGUUUGGGAAAGACCUAUUUCUGUUUCCUUACGGGAGCAUCAGAAGUGCUACCAGGACUUUGGAGCCCAAAGACUUCGAGAAGAAGACACCUAUUCACCACACUCUUGCCUAGAAGACAACCAGAAAUAUUUGCCCAGGUACACAGACACCUGCGGAAACCAGUACAGAACCCUCACCACUUAGCUUUUGCUAACAGCAUGCCUUGCCACUGAGUUUUCCUGAAGACUGUCCCAUUCAACCUGCCUCACUCCAUAGGCCUCUCUCCAGAGUGAUUCCUCAUUGUGCCUCAACGGGGGUCAGCACCACUCCAGAGGUACUCUUGCCCUGGGGAGAGCAGAAGAUAACCGCACACACAGCAGUUCAAUGGCAGCCCCGACUGCCUGCCCCACCCACCAACAGAAACCCUCCGGGGGUGGGGGGGUGGGGGUCAGCACAAAGAGAACCCAGUCAUUCAGGGUCACUGCAACCACCACAGAAGACUGGGGACAGACAUCUUCUCUUACUCCUGACCUUGCCCACCAAUGAAAGCCCCUUGGGGACAACAGAGGGAGAGAACUCUAUAGUUUGGUGCAACCAUGGUUCCAGCAAGUGGGCUGAAGGCAAAUAUAGGGUCUGACCUAAUUCAAGCCCAGAGUGGCCCCAGACUGGCACCUUAACAGCACAGGGACCAAACCCUGAUGACAACAGGCAAAGAAGGCCAGGGAAGCCAACUAGACUAAAGGCAAAUGUGGCUCAACGACAGUAGUAGGGUACAUGCAACACACACAGGAGAUCCCCCUGAAGCACCAGGGUCUACGGAGGAGGGAACACUGCCCUAUAGGGCAUUUCAGGAUCACUUCAUAAGGCCUCUCAUUUCAAGAUCAGGAGACCUAGCUGACUUGAAUACACAGAAGCAGAAUUAGGAAUUAUGCCCCAAAUGAAACAACAGGACCAAGAAGAGAAUGUAAUUGUCAUAAAGAUACUCACUAGACUUAAGAUUGAAAGAUCCCCACGUGACCUUCAGCAAAGAAAGAAAAUAUAAAAAAGAACCAAUUAGAGAUGAAGAGUUCUGAAAUUAAAAAUAUGCUCAAGUCAAUAAAUAGUAGGCCAGAAGAAGCAGUAAAACAGAUAGGGAGCUAGAUGAUGGUAAUAGAGCAACCAAGCUGGACAGGACCAAAAAAAAUGGUAAGAGAACUCAGCAACACCAUUAGGUGUAAUAGCAGUCACAUUCUAGGGAUCCCAGAAGGAGAAGAG